UACGGGGGGGGCAAGCGUUGUUCGGAAUUACUGGGCGUAAAGGGCUCGUAGGUGGCCAACUAAGUCAUACGUGAAAUCCCUCAGCUUAACUGGGGAACUGCGUCUGAUACUGGAUGGCUUGAGUUUGGGAGAGGGAUGCGGAAUUCCAGGUGUAGCGGUGAAAUGCGUAGAUAUCUGGAGGAACACCGGUGGCGAAGGCGGCAUCCUGGACCAAUACUGACACUGAGGAGCGAAAGCCAGGGGAGCGAACGGG
This 253-nucleotide ribosomal RNA is filed under the name uncultured bacterium. RNAcentral describes it as "partial 16S ribosomal RNA". It matches the Rfam family "Bacterial small subunit ribosomal RNA", at positions 524 to 776 of the family's 1533-position model. The record is from RNAcentral.